This 253-nucleotide ribosomal RNA is filed under the name uncultured bacterium. RNAcentral describes it as "partial 16S ribosomal RNA". It matches the Rfam family "Bacterial small subunit ribosomal RNA", at positions 524 to 776 of the family's 1533-position model. The record is from RNAcentral.
GACAGAGGGUGCAAACGUUGUUCGGAAUUACUGGGCGUAAAGCGUGUGUAGGCGGCCGAGAAAGUCGGAUGUGAAAGCCCCGGGCUCAACCCGGGAAGUGCACCCGAUACUGCUUGGCUCGAGUAUCGGAGAGGUUGGUGGAAUUCUCGGUGUAGAGGUGAAAUUCGUAGAUAUCGAAAGGAACACCGGUGGCGAAGGCGGCCAACUGGACGAAUACUGACGCUGAGACACGAAAGCGUGGGGAGCAAACAGG